GCGGGGGCCCGGUGGGCGGUGGAAUUCCCUUUCGCACAGAAUGGACCAAGGCCCACGCCUCCCAAACUUCCAUCGCCAAAUAACUAGAGCUGCCAUCAGCAACCUGAGGUGCACGUGAGCAGCCCUGGGCUGACUCCUAUAGCAACUCAGCAGACGACACCAAGGCAGCCUUUCCAUUCAGGGAAUGCUGCUGCUGCCGCCACAGGGUUGGGAGACUGCAGGCCAGGAGUGAUGGGCCAGCCAACAUAGGCCUAACAAGAUCAGGAAGCUCAAGUUCAGAGGAGUCAAGUAAUAUGUCCAAAGUCCCUCAAGCAGUAAGAGCAGGGAACAAGGAUUUGAAUCCAGGUCCAUCUGACCCAAGACCUGUUCUUCAACACUAAACUAUUAGUGGACAAUGCAUCUUGAGAAAAUGUUUCUAAAUACAUUUAGCAUAGAAGGGAUGAUGGCAAAUGUAACCUCCUCACCUGCAAUUCCACAUCCAGGAAUAUACCCUACAUGUAUGCACAGAGAUUUAUAAUAUUGAAAAAUUUCAAUAUAUUACAUUUGUAUCCA
Molecule: non-coding RNA, 552 nt
Organism: Macaca mulatta (Rhesus monkey)
Lineage: Eukaryota; Metazoa; Chordata; Mammalia; Primates; Cercopithecidae
Source: RefSeq, a predicted model, not a curated record